RNAcentral lists this ribosomal RNA (405 nucleotides) under uncultured bacterium. RNAcentral describes it as "partial 16S ribosomal RNA". It matches the Rfam family "Bacterial small subunit ribosomal RNA", at positions 28 to 526 of the family's 1533-position model. The record is from RNAcentral.
GAUGAACGCUGGCGGCGUGCCUAACACAUGCAAGUCGAGCGAAGCGGGGGCGGGUGAGGAACAUGUGGCUAACGUCCUAUAAGACUGGGAUAACUUCGGGAAAGCGGAGCUAGACAGGACACUUGUAGAUGGAUCCGCGCUGCAUUAGUUAGUUGGUAAGGUAACGGCUUCCCAAGGCUACGAUGCAUAGCCGACCUGCGAGGGUGAUCGGCCACACUGGAACUUAGACACGGUCCUGACUCCUACGGGAGUCAGCGGUGGGGAAUCUUGCGCAAUGGGCGAAUGCCUGACGGAGCUACGCCGCGUUAGUGAUGAGGGUCUUCGGAUCUUAAAGCUCUGUUAUUAGGGAGGCGGUACCUAAACAGAAAGCCACGGCUAACUACGUGCCAGCCGCCGCGGUAAUAC